GUGCUUGCUUCCGCAGCACAUAUACUAAAGUUGGAACCAUACAGAGAAGAUUAGCAUGGCCCUUGUGCGAGGAUGACAUGCAAAUUUGUGAAGUAUUCCAUACUUUU
This 107-nucleotide small nuclear RNA is filed under the name Moschus moschiferus (Siberian musk deer). The record is from RNAcentral. Lineage: Eukaryota; Metazoa; Chordata; Mammalia; Artiodactyla; Moschidae.